Mesocricetus auratus (golden hamster) is the source of this 2493-nucleotide long non-coding RNA. RefSeq lists it as uncharacterized. NCBI's taxonomy places the organism in Eukaryota, Metazoa, Chordata, Mammalia, Rodentia, Cricetidae. The transcript is spliced from 3 exons. The record is from RefSeq and is a predicted model, not a curated record.
AGCUCCUCCACUGGGAACUCGGAGCUCUCAGGGAGGAAACUGAGACGCAGCAACCACUACUAAGAUUUUCCCAUGGUGCAAUGCAACUUCCUCAACUUUUCCGGGCCCACAAUUUCCAAAGAAACAGAGGGGGAAGGCGUUGGGUACAAUUUACAGCAAAUCUGGGAAAGUUAAGAGACUGAGAUCCAACCGGCGAGAAGAAAACGGGUCCGGCCACAAAGUGAAAUGGCACGAGUGUUCCUGUAACAGGGUGACAGGAAUCAAAACUUAGGCUUUCUGCCCUUGGCCUAUAGUUCCUAUUGCCGACUGCAGCCUCCGGCUCCCGAAGGGCUAGCCUCCGGUGAGGAGCUUAGAAAAGGGGCUGACUGACAUCCUUCGUGGUGUCCUCCGACCUCCUCCCCGCCGCCGGACCUGGUGGCCUCCGGGCGACUCUGCAGCGGUGGCAACCAGGAGAGGGAAGACAAGGCUUUCAGCGAGGGGUUAUUGUUCCCAGAGAAUUCGGGUCAGGCGUCGGCCCCCUCCCCCGGUGUCACCCGCGCCACACAGGUAGAGCUGUGGCGGAGACCGGAGCCUCCGCCGCCACCUUGGUGAGCUGCAGCGAGUGGGGGUGGCCAGCGGGCAGGAGGGGCCCCUCGGGACUGGCACUCACCCGCGCCCUCUGCGGACGGCGGCGGCCCGACGACGCCGUUCAGGUAGAGAAUGGGCAGCAGCAUCAAUUGUGCAUGUCGUCUUCUGCUGAGGCUCAGAGAGGCCAGUGAUCACGGUCAGGAUGGAGAAGCUGGGAAGUGAUGGGAUCACCCUCCUCAGGGAGCUGUCAAGGUCACCCCUCUAAGCAGCCUCCUUUGUGUAGAAGCAACAGCUGGAAAGCAGAUGCCAGAUGAGCAUGGCCGAUGAAAAGCCUCGGAAUGCUGUGGAACCAGCUGAUACUUCCACACAGCCGGACGCCUCUCACCUCAGCUCAGCAGUCAUAUGAUCCACUUCCUCCUACUCCACGCACACCUGGAGUCUGCUUCCUCCCUUUUUAUUCCAGGGACCAGUUUGGCACCCAGGCAGGAAAUGGGUUUUCUUAUUUCAGGUAGACUUCUCCUGAGGUCUCUAAGCAAGCAGACUUGGGCUGGGAUUUUGUCCCUCCUGAUUGUCCAGAAGAGCAAGCUCAUGGGCCUUUUGGGAAACUGCAAGUUUCAGCUGAGCCCUGUGAUGAGAAUCAAGGGCUCAGAGCAGUCAUGCAUACAGAAAUGAGUGACCAUGGAAGCUUCCCAGCCAGAAAAGGCAACGGGCUCUGUCCUCUGGAUCAUUUGUUUCCUGUGGUCUCAGGGUUUGCAAGCUGCACUCUGCCUCUCUGAGCCUCCUGUGUUCAGGGAGGCAGCUUCUCCCUCCAUGGAAUGAUUUCACCCAACACUGCCCUGCUCUUCACUGCCAGACAGGAGCAAAGGUCUCAAAUCUCAGUGUGGAUCCCAGUGUGAUCCCAGUCUCCACAGCCUUCCAGCGCUGACUCUCAGUCCUCAGAGCCACCCUCUGUCAUAGGUACCGGUAUUAGCCUGUCUGCUGAGCAAAUGGGGAAACUGAGUCACAGAGAAACCAACUAAUGUAGCCAAGAAGAAAGGGGAUUAAAGUUCAGGCCCAUGGUAGAGUGCUUGUCUGGUAUGCUCAAGGUCUCAGCACUGGAAAAAGAAAUCAAACAAAGUGACACAUAGACACACACACACACAUACACACACACACACACACACACACACACACACACACACACCCCUACCUGUGCAAGCCACAACAUCUCUAAACCCCAACUCCAGCUCUUUUCCCUCCUCACUGUACCUUUCUGGAAUGGUUCCAAAGGAAUAUGCAAAUUGACUCUUUGGAGUACUCUGUAGUUCAAAAAUUCAUUUGCAUUUCAGAGGAAUGAGGGUUCCUGCUAAUCUAUUCUUAGUCCAUUUCUGUCUCAAAAACGUGGAAGAUUCCCUGAAAGCUUUAUGGCCACAAGUGAAAUGAGCCAGCAAGAGACAAGAAAGAAACUCUGAUCAGCUUGACUUAGUCAUCCAUAACUGGUUCAAACUCCUAGAGUCCUACACCAGGUAAUUACUUUAGCCAUAUUUAAACACAGCACAAUUUGGGGGACAAAAAAUUCUGAUGACAAUUAACUCAGCUGGUGUGUACAACUAAGUCAUGUUUACAUUGAAACGCUUUACAAAGUACAUAUGGCUUCUUCCAUAAAGAUGGGGACUGUUGACUCAGAAAAAAAUGCUCAAGAUGUAGUCUAGUGAGAAUGACUGAUGUGAACUUAAUGCCUGGCCCUAGGAGAACAUGGAAUGGGUUUAGUGGAUUUAGAAGCAAUGAUCAAGAUUCAAGGUAAAGGGGUAUAGGAUAAAUAAAACAUAAUUUCUGGGGGAUGUGGAUGAAGCCUGUCUCUGCAAGUAGCGAAAGAUCACAAGGUUGUAAAGUACAGCCACGCCCAGCAUUCUGGGAGGAAGACAGUAAACAUCUCUUUUCUUUGAA